AUUGAACGCUGGCGGCAGGCCUAACACAUGCAAGUCGAGCGCGAGGCGGAGGGGUGUGAAAUGUAUGGGGACUGCCCGAUAGAGGGGGGGAACACUUGGAAACAGUGGCGAAUAAACCACACUAUCGGAUAAUCCAUAUGGGAUUAGCUCGUGGGUGGGGUAAUGGCUCACCUAGGCGACGAUCCCUAGCUGGGCUGAGAGUAUGACCAGCCACACUGGGACGGAGACACGGCCCAGACUCCUACGGAGGCAGCAGUGGGGAAUAUUGCACAAUGGGCGCAAGCCUGAUGCAGCCAUGCCGCGUGUAUGAAGAAGGCCUUAGGGUUGUAAAGUACUUUCAGUCGGGAGGCGUUACCGACAGAAGAAGCACCGGCUAACUCCGUGCCAGCAGCCGCGGUAAUUC
This 403-nucleotide ribosomal RNA is filed under the name uncultured bacterium. Its description in RNAcentral is "partial 16S ribosomal RNA". It matches the Rfam family "Bacterial small subunit ribosomal RNA", at positions 30 to 526 of the family's 1533-position model. The record is from RNAcentral.